RNAcentral lists this ribosomal RNA (2517 nucleotides) under Escherichia coli. RNAcentral's name for it is "partial 23S ribosomal RNA". It matches the Rfam family "Bacterial large subunit ribosomal RNA", at positions 418 to 2915 of the family's 2925-position model. Lineage: Bacteria; Pseudomonadati; Pseudomonadota; Gammaproteobacteria; Enterobacterales; Enterobacteriaceae. RNAcentral also lists the same sequence under 1 other name. The record is from RNAcentral.
CGGGACACGUGGUAUCCUGUCUGAAUAUGGGGGGACCAUCCUCCAAGGCUAAAUACUCCUGACUGACCGAUAGUGAACCAGUACCGUGAGGGAAAGGCGAAAAGAACCCCGGCGAGGGGAGUGAAAAAGAACCUGAAACCGUGUACGUACAAGCAGUGGGAGCACGCUUAGGCGUGUGACUGCGUACCUUUUGUAUAAUGGGUCAGCGACUUAUAUUCUGUAGCAAGGUUAACCGAAUAGGGGAGCCGAAGGGAAACCGAGUCUUAACUGGGCGUUAAGUUGCAGGGUAUAGACCCGAAACCCGGUGAUCUAGCCAUGGGCAGGUUGAAGGUUGGGUAACACUAACUGGAGGACCGAACCGACUAAUGUUGAAAAAUUAGCGGAUGACUUGUGGCUGGGGGUGAAAGGCCAAUCAAACCGGGAGAUAGCUGGUUCUCCCCGAAAGCUAUUUAGGUAGCGCCUCGUGAAUUCAUCUCCGGGGGUAGAGCACUGUUUCGGCAAGGGGGUCAUCCCGACUUACCAACCCGAUGCAAACUGCGAAUACCGGAGAAUGUUAUCACGGGAGACACACGGCGGGUGCUAACGUCCGUCGUGAAGAGGGAAACAACCCAGACCGCCAGCUAAGGUCCCAAAGUCAUGGUUAAGUGGGAAACGAUGUGGGAAGGCCCAGACAGCCAGGAUGUUGGCUUAGAAGCAGCCAUCAUUUAAAGAAAGCGUAAUAGCUCACUGGUCGAGUCGGCCUGCGCGGAAGAUGUAACGGGGCUAAACCAUGCACCGAAGCUGCGGCAGCGACGCUGAUGCGUUGUUGGGUAGGGGAGCGUUCUGUAAGCCUGUGAAGGUGUGCUGUGAGGCAUGCUGGAGGUAUCAGAAGUGCGAAUGCUGACAUAAGUAACGAUAAAGCGGGUGAAAAGCCCGCUCGCCGGAAGACCAAGGGUUCCUGUCCAACGUUAAUCGGGGCAGGGUGAGUCGACCCCUAAGGCGAGGCCGAAAGGCGUAGUCGAUGGGAAACAGGUUAAUAUUCCUGUACUUGGUGUUACUGCGAAGGGGGGACGGAGAAGGCUAUGUUGGCCGGGCGACGGUUGUCCCGGUUUAAGCGUGUAGGCUGGUUUUCCAGGCAAAUCCGGAAAAUCAAGGCUGAGGCGUGAUGACGAGGCACUACGGUGCUGAAGCAACAAAUGCCCUGCUUCCAGGAAAAGCCUCUAAGCAUCAGGUAACAUCAAAUCGUACCCCAAACCGACACAGGUGGUCAGGUAGAGAAUACCAAGGCGCUUGAGAGAACUCGGGUGAAGGAACUAGGCAAAAUGGUGCCGUAACUUCGGGAGAAGGCACGCUGAUAUGUAGGUGAAGUCCCUCGCGGAUGGAGCUGAAAUCAGUCGAAGAUACCAGCUGGCUGCAACUGUUUAUUAAAAACACAGCACUGUGCAAACACGAAAGUGGACGUAUACGGUGUGACGCCUGCCCGGUGCCGGAAGGUUAAUUGAUGGGGUCAGCGCAAGCGAAGCUCUUGAUCGAAGCCCCGGUAAACGGCGGCCGUAACUAUAACGGUCCUAAGGUAGCGAAAUUCCUUGUCGGGUAAGUUCCGACCUGCACGAAUGGCGUAAUGAUGGCCAGGCUGUCUCCACCCGAGACUCAGUGAAAUUGAACUCGCUGUGAAGAUGCAGUGUACCCGCGGCAAGACGGAAAGACCCCGUGAACCUUUACUAUAGCUUGACACUGAACAUUGAGCCUUGAUGUGUAGGAUAGGUGGGAGGCUUUGAAGUGUGGACGCCAGUCUGCAUGGAGCCGGCCUUGAAAUACCACCCUUUAAUGUUUGAUGUUCUAACGUUGACCCGUGAUCCGGGUUGCGGACAGUGUCUGGUGGGUAGUUUGACUGGGGCGGUCUCCUCCUAAAGAGUAACGGAGGAGCACGAAGGUUGGCUAAUCCUGGUCGGACAUCAGGAGGUUAGUGCAAUGGCAUAAGCCAGCUUGACUGCGAGCGUGACGGCGCGAGCAGGUGCGAAAGCAGGUCAUAGUGAUCCGGUGGUUCUGAAUGGAAGGGCCAUCGCUCAACGGAUAAAAGGUACUCCGGGGAUAACAGGCUGAUACCGCCCAAGAGUUCAUAUCGACGGCGGUGUUUGGCACCUCGAUGUCGGCUCAUCACAUCCUGGGGCUGAAGUAGGUCCCAAGGGUAUGGCUGUUCGCCAUUUAAAGUGGUACGCGAGCUGGGUUUAGAACGUCGUGAGACAGUUCGGUCCCUAUCUGCCGUGGGCGCUGGAGAACUGAGGGGGGCUGCUCCUAGUACGAGAGGACCGGAGUGGACGCAUCACUGGUGUUCGGGUUGUCAUGCCAAUGGCACUGCCCGGUAGCUAAAUGCGGAAGAGAUAAGUGCUGAAAGCAUCUAAGCACGAAACUUGCCCCGAGAUGAGUUCUCCCUGACUCCUUGAGAGUCCUGAAGGAACGUUGAAGACGACGACGUUGAUAGGCCGGGUGUGUAAGCGCAGCGAUGCGUUGAGCUAACCGGUACUAAUGAACCGUGAG